Long non-coding RNA from Tyto alba (common barn owl), 401 nucleotides. RefSeq lists it as uncharacterized. NCBI's taxonomy places the organism in Eukaryota, Metazoa, Chordata, Aves, Strigiformes, Tytonidae. The transcript is spliced from 3 exons. The record is from RefSeq and is a predicted model, not a curated record.
UGCCUUCAUGGGACAAAGAAAGGUGUACCCCAGCCUGAGCAGAAGCAGGUGAUCCAAGCCAUCUCCAAACACUCUUAAUCUGGCCAGAAGCUGCUACGGAACACCCAAACAGUUGGAAAGAGAAAAGUACAUCUCCCUCCUCUUUGAAGGACCAGCACUGUGGGCAACCCGUGGUGGCAGCAUCUGUGGAAAUCCCCUCCAGUCUGUCCCUGCACUGAGGUUGCACAGGGAUGUGUGUUAAUGUUAGAUAUGUUCUUGCUACCGUCAUUUUCUGUCUGAGGCACCUGCAAAGCCUGGAUAGGGUGAAACGUUUUGGAGAUGACCACGGUUUCCACACGCUCCCAUUUGUGGUUAUUUGCGAGAUAAUGACUUUUUUUUGGCCUGUAAAUUCCCAAUCACUG